UACGUAGGGGGCAAGCGUUGUCCGGAUUUAUUGGGCGUAAAGAGCGUGUAGGCGGCCAGGUAGGUCAGCUGUGAAAACUCGAGGCUCAACCUCGAGACGUCGGUUGAAACCACCUGGCUAGAGUCCGGAAGAGGAGAGUGGAAUUCCAGGUGUAGCGGUGAAAUGCGUAGAUAUCUGGAGGAACACCGGUGGCGAAGGCGGCAUCCUGGACCAAUACUGACGCUGAGGAGCGAAAGCCAGGUGAGCAAACGGG
This 253-nucleotide ribosomal RNA is filed under the name uncultured bacterium. RNAcentral's name for it is "partial 16S ribosomal RNA". It matches the Rfam family "Bacterial small subunit ribosomal RNA", at positions 524 to 776 of the family's 1533-position model. The record is from RNAcentral.